GUCAAGAGAAUUCAGAGUGUUAUUCUUUUUUUUUUUUCUAUCUAAGAUUUCUGGGUUGUGGCUAAACUUUUGGCCGAUUUCUAACCCGUUUUGGUCACAGUCCGUCAUCAGAUCGCUGCGAAACAGACGUUAUUCAACUAAGUUGUGGUGCUCUAUUAGGCCUUUCCCAGCUAAAAGAGCAUUUUGUAUUUUGGUUGCUCUGUUAAUAAAUCUGACAUUUGCUAGCACCUGUGACGCUGCUCUUAUAUUCCGAUGUUUGAAGCCCUAGCCACAUAGGUUGGCCAAGUAGCUGUGCAUCCCUCAUUGCCCUUUUCGAAGCUGCCACUCCUGCUAUGAUUAAAUGGCGAGGAGUUCCAUAAGCGCACCUCGCUUCAAUGUACAGCCUUUAAAACCAUUCGUACUUCAGGUGGUUUCUAUUUACAAGUCACCCACUCGAAUGAUGAAGGUUACUUCAACAAUAAAAUGGCUAAAUCAUAAUUUUCUUAAAAAAUGGAAGCCUUUGCCCCAAUUAUAGAGGACUUAUCACGUAUAUCAAAGCUCUAAUCGCAGUUAGAGAUCACGAUUGAGACACGUAAUUAGUGCUUACUAGUAUUGGCAAAUAACUAGGCCAACAUAUAAAAGCAUCUCCAAAUGAGAUGUCAAAAGAUAAAUGUCAAAUGUUAAUUUGAAAGCUAAUGUGACAAUGUCAGAUUUUCUUUAUUUUCAAUUGAUAUAUAUUUUUUUUGUUAUAAAUAAUAUUUGUAGGACCCAUUUAAAAAAGAAAUCAAUUAAAAUAAAUUUCAAAGAUCUAUAAUUGGUUCAUUAAUGAGACAUACACAACAAAAUAAUUAAAAAUUAUUUGACAUCACCUUUUUCUCAUAUAUCAGAUUUGGCAUAUGAAAACUCAUAUGUCAAUCCACGGUUGGAGCUUGCACUUAACUUCAAAUUUGAGUACAUGAUAUUCCACUUAGAAUUUCACAUCUCAUUUAGAGAUAAUCUAAGAUGUUUUACACUCUUGAGGAAACAAAAAAUAGCAUUUUAGUGGGCUCCCAUUAUAUAAAUAUACAUGAUAAUUUAUGGCUUGA
Molecule: long non-coding RNA, 1064 nt
Organism: Pyrus x bretschneideri (Chinese white pear)
Lineage: Eukaryota; Viridiplantae; Streptophyta; Magnoliopsida; Rosales; Rosaceae
Exons: 6
Source: RefSeq, a predicted model, not a curated record